This 498-nucleotide ribosomal RNA is filed under the name uncultured bacterium. Its description in RNAcentral is "partial 16S ribosomal RNA". It matches the Rfam family "Bacterial small subunit ribosomal RNA", at positions 28 to 507 of the family's 1533-position model. The record is from RNAcentral.
GACGAACGCUGGCGGCGUGCCUAAUACAUGCAAGUCGAACGAGAGCGACCGGUGCUUGCACUGGUCAAUCUAGUGGCGAACGGGUGAGUAACACGUGGGUAACCUGCUCAUCAGAGGGGGAUAACAUCCGGAAGCGGAUGCUAAAACCGCAUAGGUCUUCGAGCCGCAUGGCUUGAAGAGGAAAAGAGGCGCAAGCUUCUGCUGAUGGAUGGACCCGCGGUGCAUUAGCUAGUUGGUGAGGUAACGGCUCACCAAGGCCGUGAUGCAUAGCCGACCUGAGAGGGUGAUCGGCCACAUUGGGACUGAGACACGGCCCAAACUCCUACGGGAGGCAGCAGUAGGGAAUCUUCCGCAAUGGACGCAAGUCUGACGGAGCAACGCCGCGUGAGUGAAGAAGGUUUUCGGAUCGUAAAACUCUGUUGUUAGAGAAGAACAAGUGCUAGAGUAACUGUUAGCGCCUUGACGGUAUCUAACCAGAAAGCCACGGCUAACUACGUG